AGAUUAAACUGAAGAGUUUGAUCAUGGCUCAGAUUGAACGCUGGCGGCAGGCUUAACACAUGCAAGUCGAGCGGUAACAGAUCUAGCUUGCUAGAUGCUGACGAGCGGCGGACGGGUGA
RNAcentral lists this ribosomal RNA (119 nucleotides) under Oleiphilus sp. HI0122. RNAcentral's name for it is "partial 16S ribosomal RNA". It matches the Rfam family "Bacterial small subunit ribosomal RNA", at positions 1 to 109 of the family's 1533-position model. Lineage: Bacteria; Pseudomonadati; Pseudomonadota; Gammaproteobacteria; Oceanospirillales; Oleiphilaceae. The record is from RNAcentral.